ACUCCUACGGGAGGCAGCAGUGGGGAAUAUUGCACAAUGGGGGAAACCCUGAUGCAGCCAUGCCGCGUGUGUGAAGAAGGCCUUCGGUUGUAAGCACUUUCAGUAGGGAGGAAGGUAGUGUAGUUAACACCUGCAUUAUUUGUACGUUACCUACAGAAGAAGCACCGGCUAACUCCGUGCCAGCAGCCGCGGUAAUACGGAGGGUGCGAGCGUUAAUCGGAAUUACUGGGCGUAAAGCGCAUGCAGGCGGCCUGUUAAGUCAGAUGUGAAAGCCCGGGGCUUAACCUCGGAAUUGCAUUUGAAACUGGCAGGCUAGAGUCUUGUAGAGGGGGGUAGAAUUUCAGGUGUAGCGGUGAAAUGCGUAGAGAUCUGAAGGAAUACCAGUGGCGAAGGCGGCCCCCUGG
This 404-nucleotide ribosomal RNA is filed under the name uncultured bacterium. Its description in RNAcentral is "bacterial SSU rRNA". It matches the Rfam family "Bacterial small subunit ribosomal RNA", at positions 335 to 732 of the family's 1533-position model. The record is from RNAcentral.